AUGCAGCAGCAGGGACAGAGCAGAGGCCGAACGAGCUCUAGAGAGAGGCGCGAUACGGCGGGCGGCGCAGAACCGCCGCGCGGCCAGGAGCAGCGCAUCGAGGAGCUGCGACGCCAGGCCGAGCCCGAGGAGCGCGGGGCCCGGAGGGAGACUGGAUCUUCCGGCAGAGCAUCUGCGCGCGCAGAGGGACUCGGCGGCCAUGGCCGAGGGAGCAGGGAAGGAGUACCGCGGCGAGCAGAGAGGAGCGAGGAGCAGAGGCUGGGCGAGUCCCGGCGUGCAGGGAGGGAUCCAGGGGAGCCGCCAUGGGAGGGGCAAGGAAGAAGGGCGCGCCGGCCAUGGAUGGAGAUGGCGAGGAACUCGGCUGGAGGGGGCGUCGCGAGGAAGGGUGACGCGCUGGAGAUAGUCGGCGGUGCGAGCAGGGAAGAAGCAAAGGGAUGA
Molecule: long non-coding RNA, 438 nt
Filed under: Zea mays
Lineage: Eukaryota; Viridiplantae; Streptophyta; Magnoliopsida; Poales; Poaceae
Description: drought-responsive long non-coding RNA
Source: RNAcentral